AGCGAUCCACACAACUGGCGACAAAAGGCUGAGCCUUAAGAUGGAUGAAACCAUCGGGGAGUGUGAAAAGAACCUAGCCGCUCGCCUGGGCAUAGACA
The submitters of this non-coding RNA (98 nucleotides) gave its source as unclassified sequences. The record is from Rfam.